Molecule: long non-coding RNA, 178 nt
Organism: Octopus sinensis (East Asian common octopus)
Lineage: Eukaryota; Metazoa; Mollusca; Cephalopoda; Octopoda; Octopodidae
Exons: 3
Source: RefSeq, a predicted model, not a curated record
GUACAUGCAUAGUGCAUGUAUGAGCCAUGAUAUACAGGUGUGCAUGCAUUUGGAUGGGGAGGGUAUCAGGUGUAGUGUUGGCGAAUUUCAGGAAGCAUGGUGGUUUUAAAGGAUGCAAUGUCUGAGCAACUAACAACUGAUACCGGAAGUUUGUUCCAUGCUUCAGCAACUCUGAGUG